Molecule: small RNA, 125 nt
Filed under: Marmota monax (woodchuck)
Lineage: Eukaryota; Metazoa; Chordata; Mammalia; Rodentia; Sciuridae
Source: RNAcentral
GCCAGGUGUGGUGAUGAACAUCUGUAAUCCCAUGACUUGGGAGGCUGAGGCAGGAGGAUUGAAAGUUUGAAGCCAGCCUCAGCAACUAGCAAGGCCCUAAGUAAUUUUGUAAGAUCCUGUCUCAA